UACGUAGGGUGCAAGCGUUGUCCGGAAUUAUUGGGCGUAAAGAGCUCGUAGGCGGUCUGUCGCGUCGGCUGUGAAAACUCGGGGCUCAACCCUGAGACGUCGGUUGAAACCAUCUGGCUAGAGUCCGGAAGAGGAGUGUGGAAUUCCCGGUGUAGCGGUGAAAUGCGCAGAUAUCGGGAAGAACACCCGUGGCGAAGGCGGCACUCUGGGACGGUACUGACGCUGAGACGCGAAAGCGUGGGGAGCGAACAGG
This 253-nucleotide ribosomal RNA is filed under the name uncultured bacterium. Its description in RNAcentral is "partial 16S ribosomal RNA". It matches the Rfam family "Bacterial small subunit ribosomal RNA", at positions 524 to 776 of the family's 1533-position model. The record is from RNAcentral.